GAGACCCACGCCAACAGUUGCCAGCAUGUCCUCCGGGAUGGUGGGGACACUGUUGGGACCGCCUCUGCUAAAGAGGAGGAAGGAAUGGGCAACGGUAGGUCAGCAUGCCCCGAAUUAUCCGGGCUACACGUGGGCUACAAUGGUCAGGACAAUGGGUAUCGACACCGAGAGGUGAAGGCAAUCUCUUAAACCUGUCCUUAGUUCGGAUUGUGGGCUGCAACUCGCCCACAUGAAGCUGGAAUCCGUAGUAAUCGCGUCUCAAAAUGGCGCGGUGAAUAU
This 279-nucleotide ribosomal RNA is filed under the name uncultured archaeon. RNAcentral describes it as "partial 16S rRNA". It matches the Rfam family "Archaeal small subunit ribosomal RNA", at positions 1047 to 1325 of the family's 1478-position model. The record is from RNAcentral.